CGUCAUCUAAUUAGUGACG
Molecule: non-coding RNA, 19 nt
Filed under: Arabidopsis thaliana (thale cress)
Lineage: Eukaryota; Viridiplantae; Streptophyta; Magnoliopsida; Brassicales; Brassicaceae
Also listed under: 1 other name
Source: RNAcentral